AUGGAGCUCGCCGCAACCAGCGCUGCUGCCCUCCGGCGAUCGUUGGCGUCGGGGUAUCCGGUGGUCCCGAGGGAGAGGAGGAGUGGGAUGCCGGCUAGGGUGUCCUGCGUCGGCCGCGGAGGCAGAGGCGUAGGCGGGGGAUUCGCCGACGAGGCGCACCUCAGGUACUACGAGGCGCCGCGGAAGGCGGUGGAGGCGGCGGCGAGGGAUCUUACCAAGCUCCGGGCCAUGGGCCUUGUCGCCGGCGACCCAGCCAAGGAGAAGAUCCUCUCGGAAGCCACUGAGCUGCUGCUACAGGAGUUGAAUCAGAUGAAGGAUGCAGAGGACGAGCUGAAGAAGAAGCAGAAAGAGGAGAAGGCUGCGAUGAAAGCACUGAAGAAGCAGCAGAAGGAAGCCAAGAAGGCUGCGAUGAACUGUGGAGAUGGCUCCUCUGAAUCGAGCGAGAGUGAGUGCGAGGAAGGGCAAUCCAUGAAAAUGAGGUGUGUUGCCACCACAUCGGUGCCUGCAGUUGAGCAAGGAAUGGUGAUGUCAAUGUCGGUGCCCCAAAUUGCUGCAUCCAACAUCGCAACAGCUCCGGCAAUGGAUUUUGACAAGGCUGCGAUGAAGGCCAUGAAGAAGAGGGAGAAGGAACAAAAGAAAGCUGCAAAGAAGGCCAUGAAGAUGAAAAAGGAGGAAGAGAAGAGGAUGGCCACACUGAAUUCCUGCAAGGAUGAAGACAGCUCAUGCUCAUCGGAGUCCAGCAACAGUGAGUGUGAAGGGGAAGUCGUCAGAAUGAGCUGCUGUGCCACCAUUUCUGCGCCUCGAACACCACCUGCAAGCACAGUUUUCCCCAUCAUAGUGCCUCAAAUCCCAGACUCCGUUGCACUGGAUGCUCAGAUCUUUUCCGGGUCUGCAAAUGCAAUGCAGUGCACUGCCACCAGCAUUGCGGUUGUCGAAAAACCAGUGCUGAACAGAAUCGAGGUCUGCAUGGGCGGCAAAUGCAAGAAGGCGGGCUCGCUCGCUGUCCUGCAGGAGUUCGAGACGGAGGUCGGCACGGGCGGCAUGGUGGUCGGUUGCAAAUGUUUGGGGAAAUGCAGGCUAGGCCCAAAUGUGCGGCUUCGGAGUGAGGGCUCUGUACAGAAGAACAGUCCCAUCUGCAUUGGUGUAGGCUUGGAUGAUGUUGGCACCAUCGUGGCAGGCUUCAUCGGAGAUGGUGACGUGGGCAUGAACUGA
Molecule: ribosomal RNA, 1212 nt
Filed under: Triticum aestivum (bread wheat)
Lineage: Eukaryota; Viridiplantae; Streptophyta; Magnoliopsida; Poales; Poaceae
Description: partial small subunit ribosomal RNA
Source: RNAcentral